CCUACGGGAUGCAGCAGUGGGGAAUAUUGGACAAUGGGGGCAACCCUGAUCCAGCCAUGCCGCGUGUGUGAAGAAGGCCCUCGGGUUGUAAAACACUUUCAGUGAGGAAGAACGCCUGGUGGUGAAUACCCAUCAGGAAAGACAUCACUCACAGAAGAAGCACCGGCUAACUCCGUGCCAGCAGCCGCGGUAAUACGGAGGGUGCGAGCGUUAAUCGGAAUUACUGGGCGUAAAGCGCGCGUAGGUGGCUUGAUAAGCCGGUUGUGAAAGCCCCGGGCUCAACCUGGGAACGGCAUCCGGAACUGUCAAGCUAGAGCGCAGGAGAGGAAGGUAGAAUUCCCGGUGUAGCGGUGAAUUGCGUAGAGAUCGGGAGGAAUACCAGUGGCGAAGGCGGCCUUCUGGACUGACACUGACACUGAGGUGCGAAGGCGUGGGUAGCAAACAGGAUUAGAUACCCUUGUAGUC
This 465-nucleotide ribosomal RNA is filed under the name Vreelandella stevensii. RNAcentral describes it as "partial 16S ribosomal RNA". It matches the Rfam family "Bacterial small subunit ribosomal RNA", at positions 338 to 795 of the family's 1533-position model. The record is from RNAcentral. Lineage: Bacteria; Pseudomonadati; Pseudomonadota; Gammaproteobacteria; Oceanospirillales; Halomonadaceae.